ACGGAAGGCAGCAGUGGGGAAUAUUGGGCAAUGGGCGAAAGCCUGACCCAGCAACGCCGCGUGAAGGAAGAAGGCCUUCGGGUUGUAAACUUCUUUUAAGAGGGACGAAGAAGUGACGGUACCUCUUGAAUAAGCCACGGCUAACUACGUGCCAGCAGCCGCGGUAAUACGUAGGUGGCGAGCGUUAUCCGGAUUUACUGGGUGUAAAGGGCGCGUAGGCGGGAAUGCAAGUCAGAUGUGAAAUCCAAGGGCUCAACCCUUGAACUGCAUUUGAAACUGUAUUUCUUGAGUGUCGGAGAGGUUGACGGAAUUCCUAGUGUAGCGGUGAAAUGCGUAGAUAUUAGGAGGAACACCAGUGGCGAAGGCGGUCAACUGGACGAUAACUGACGCUGAGGCGCGAAAGCGUGGGGAGCAAACAGGAUUAGAUACCCUGGUA
Molecule: ribosomal RNA, 436 nt
Filed under: uncultured bacterium
Lineage: Bacteria
Description: bacterial SSU rRNA
Rfam family: Bacterial small subunit ribosomal RNA
Source: RNAcentral